CCUUCGUUGAGAGGGUUUCGUCCGCUGAGAGAAAGCCCUGUCUUCGGUUCGUUUCCAACCAGCUGGUUGGGGGCAGCCAUGGAAGAACUGUGUUCGUUGCUGGACAUGCGUUGGAGGCCGUCGAUUUUUGUUUGGGAGGUGAGCUGCAAAUCUAGCCGCGCUUUCAGUCUUCGUGUCACAGAUUUGGGAUCGAGAGAUUUCAUCUUUUCUACAGCCUUCGACUCAGGCUUCCACCUUUCUUGCUUGUGAAUAUUUGCAUCCUUUGUCGUCAGCUUGAAUACACCAAAAAGCAGGGAACUGAAGAUUUGCAUUCCACUGCCAUUUUCAAGCUUGGAUACACCAAAAAGCAAGGGACUAAGCAUUUGGAUUCUGCUAUCAUAUUCGAGGAUCAAGACCUCCAUCAAAGAGAAGAAAAAUCAUGAAGAAAGUGCAAAACAAAGCUCGCCCAAUUAAAUAGCAUGCUAUACAAAACUAUCCAACUUUUGCUAUUUUGAUGCCUACUUCCUACUAUAAACAUCUCAAUGUAUAUACAAACAAGUGUAGUAUUUUAACAUAACAAGUAGCCUGUAAAAUAUGUUAUUACAUGCUUUUUUUGCAACUUACACUCCUUUAGUUAAACAUAAUGUUAUAAAUUAAAUCUCAUUGUAUAUAUAAACAAUCUAACUUUGUCUACGCAAUUUCAAAACCCGCAGCAUCGCGCGGGCUUUCCUGCUAG
This is a long non-coding RNA of Prunus persica (peach), 715 nucleotides long. RefSeq lists it as uncharacterized. NCBI's taxonomy places the organism in Eukaryota, Viridiplantae, Streptophyta, Magnoliopsida, Rosales, Rosaceae. The transcript has 4 exons. The record is from RefSeq and is a predicted model, not a curated record.